CCACUCCUUUCCUGCCAAGCUUUCUGAGUUCAGCACCUGACUCCAGGGUUCAGUAGGAGCUGCACCGGUCUGUUUCAUUACUAAUGCAAGCAAUGAUGGGAAAUCACACCAGAUCUUUGACUCGCUUCUAAAAGUCCCCUGUUUUAUAUUAUCUUCUUAUCACAUUUGAAUGUCUUUAAAGGUGAUCGUGGUGUCACACCUUAAAUCUUACUUGGGAAGUUUAAUUUUGCAGACAACAGAGGGUCCAUCAGAGCACAAUGCGGUGAUGACAAGGAUGGUGCCUGGAUGUGACAGAGAUUCAACUGAUAUUUAUAAUGUAAAUCCACAAUCAAAACUUGAGGAUUUGAAAACAACUUCAACCUUGACCUUGGCCUUUCUAAACUCUGCCCUUCUCUCUCUGCCAUGGAUCGAGCAGAUUUCCUCUACCACAUCCUCUACCAUACCUUUUCUGCCUUGGAGCCAGCCAGUCACAGACUGAGCCUACUGAAAAUGUAAGUCAAAUAAAUU
RNAcentral lists this long non-coding RNA (507 nucleotides) under Heterocephalus glaber (naked mole-rat). RNAcentral's name for it is "lncRNA (ENSHGLG00000034961.1)". The record is from RNAcentral. Lineage: Eukaryota; Metazoa; Chordata; Mammalia; Rodentia; Bathyergidae.